ACAUCUUUAGUAGAUAUGGUAGCAUUGGGAGGAUGAGAGCUGAUAGAGGAGAAUUGGAUGCUGUUGAAGCAAGAGAAUUUUUCAACAGGUAUGGAGUUCAAUUGAAGUUGACUACUUCUUAUAAUCCUGAAGCCAAUGAAAAGAGUGAGAGGGGUCAUCCUCCUAUCAUUUAUGCAUUGGUUAAGGCAUGUAAAGGUAAGUCAAUUCAAUGGCCUAAACUGCUUCCAUUUGCUUUAUGGACUAAUAGAACUACUCAGAGUACUGUCAUUGGUUAUAUGCCCAUGGAGUUCAUGUUAGGACAAAAACCUAUGAUGCCAGUUGAAGAAACCUAUCUUACAUAGAUAUUUUUAUCUUGGAAAGAUGAUAUAAAUAGAGAAAGAUUAUUGGAGCUUCGAAUCCAACAAUUGAGUAGGUUACUUGAAGAUCUACAAAUUGCAGCUGAGAGGUUAAAGAAAGCAAGAUUGAAAAAUAAAGAAAGAUUUGAUAAGAUUCAUAGGUUGAGACCUAAGCCUAUAGAGAUUGGAGAUAAGGUUCUAGUUUAUGAUAGUAGCCUUGAGCAUCAAUAUAGUACUAUAAAGAAAUUUGUAAAAAAAUAGUUUGGACGAUAUGUGGUGGUUACAGUACAUGAUAAUGCUACGUAUACUUUACGUGAAUUAGAUGGAGCUAUCAUAAGGAAUCCAAUAGCAGAAAAGAGGGUGAAAACUUUCAAGAAAAGAAAUGGGUUAUUUCAAAUAGAAGACCUUCAAGAAUUCUUACCUCAAUAUUUAGACCAAGAAGAU
RNAcentral lists this long non-coding RNA (779 nucleotides) under Physcomitrium patens. RNAcentral's name for it is "long non-coding RNA (PPAT_LNC013793)". The record is from RNAcentral. Lineage: Eukaryota; Viridiplantae; Streptophyta; Bryopsida; Funariales; Funariaceae.